Molecule: ribosomal RNA, 392 nt
Filed under: Rhizosolenia sp.
Lineage: Eukaryota; Bacillariophyta; Coscinodiscophyceae; Rhizosoleniales; Rhizosoleniaceae
Description: partial small subunit ribosomal RNA
Rfam family: Eukaryotic small subunit ribosomal RNA
Source: RNAcentral
AUUCCAGCUCCAAUAGUGUAUAUUAAAGUUGUUGCAGUUAAAAAGCUCGUAGUUGGAUUUCUGGCGGGAGCGAUCGGUCCUUCACUCAGUGUUGGAACCUGAUUGUCUCCUGCCAUCCAUGGAGAAAACUUAUCUGGCAUUAAGUUGUCGGGUAGGCAAUCUCCAUCUUUUACUGUGAAAAAAUUAGAGUGUUCAAAGCAGGCUUAUGCCGUUGAAUAUAUUAGCAUGGAAUAAUAAGAUAGGACUAUGGUACUAUUUUGUUGGUUUGUGGGACUGAAGUAAUGAUUAAUAGGGACAGUUGGGGGCAUUAGUAUUUAAUUGUCAGAGGUAAAAUUCUUGGAUUUAUGAAAGACUAACUACUGCGAAAGCAUUUGCCAAGGAUGUUUUCAUUG